UAGGAAGGAACACAUUGACCAGGCCUGAGG
Molecule: non-coding RNA, 30 nt
Filed under: Mus musculus (house mouse)
Lineage: Eukaryota; Metazoa; Chordata; Mammalia; Rodentia; Muridae
Source: RNAcentral